GGAUGUGAGGGUGAUGUCCUGUGACAUCUGUCACCCCAUUGAUGGCUCGGGUAGACUCAGCUGAUCUGACUGCCUAGAUGGGUGUCCCUUCCCUCCCUUACUAUUCUACGUGUGCCCCUCCCAAAGCCGUGCGCCCAGUGCAUGAGGACUACCUUCUCUGAUAAAGGAGGACCGUUUUUCGGUCAGGACUCCGUGAGUAGCUGUGCUCCCUGGUAGAACCUCCAGGUCCAGCAGUGGCUCUAGGAGCUCCAGUGGGUGGUUGUGAGGAGUUGGGGUGGAGCCCAGGACUCCUCACGUGCUCGGCAAGUGCUCCACCACUCAGCC
This is an unclassified non-coding RNA of Marmota marmota marmota (Alpine marmot), 324 nucleotides long. Its record names the gene 7SK. It matches the Rfam family "7SK RNA". From Rfam's summary of the family: 7SK was discovered as an abundant small nuclear RNA in the mid-70s but a possible function has only recently been suggested. The record is from Ensembl. NCBI's taxonomy places the organism in Eukaryota, Metazoa, Chordata, Mammalia, Rodentia, Sciuridae.